ACAGAAAAAAGUCUUCGUUUAUUGGGAAAGAAUCAAUAUACUUUUAAUGUCGAAUCGGGAUUCACUAAGACAGAAAUAAAGCAUUGGGUCGAACUCUUCUUUGGUGUUAAGGUGGUAGCUGUGAAUAGCCAUCGACUACCUGGAAAAGUCCAAUCUAAGAAUGUUACAACUUGCAUCAUCAUCAUCAUGGCCAAAUGA
RNAcentral lists this ribosomal RNA (198 nucleotides) under Triticum aestivum (bread wheat). Its description in RNAcentral is "partial small subunit ribosomal RNA". Lineage: Eukaryota; Viridiplantae; Streptophyta; Magnoliopsida; Poales; Poaceae. The record is from RNAcentral.